Long non-coding RNA from Cornus florida, 2546 nucleotides. RefSeq lists it as uncharacterized. Lineage: Eukaryota; Viridiplantae; Streptophyta; Magnoliopsida; Cornales; Cornaceae. The transcript has 4 exons. The record is from RefSeq and is a predicted model, not a curated record.
GCAUAUUUGACUUAUUUGCUUACACUUGAUUUGUCCCCAUUAUUAUUUAAGGAUUUCAAAUUUUCCUCCUUUUUUUUUUUUUUUUUGAAUUGUUUUGUUAAUAUAAAUCCUAAAUAAAAAUGAGAUAAAUAAAUAAAAAAGGCGUUAGAAAAAGUCGACAGUUUUCAGUUGGCCCAAGAAAAUUAUUCGGGCUUAUUCAUUGGAGCGUAAAUUCGGUGAUCGUGGAUGAAGUUCAUAAAUGGGGAUAAAGGAUCCGAGAUCGGAACCGUUGGAAGUAUCAAUCACAGCUGUCGCGAGUCAACGGUAGAUCAUCUGAAGAGGCAGAUUCAUCAGCACCCUUGCUGCAUCAAAUACGAUGGACCUUCCUUCCUUUGUUUCUCACUACUUCAUGAUUAAACCAACUGCUUCAUAGGCAAGAUGCAUUUUGGCUACAUUCGAGGCUUAAUGUCUGAUUGUGGAGGAAGAUUACUUGAAACGAAGCAAGUUACAACGAACAAAUCUUUUUCCCCUUCUUCAGGCUAUUCCGAGUUUUUGGGAGCUGUUUGCGGCAAAACGGAGAGCACGGCGAGAUCUAAGUGUGAGUACAAGCAAUUUCAGUUUUGGUCUCCCCUAGGAUUUCGAGUUUUGAGGCCCAUUUUGAGGGAUUUUCUACAAAUUGAGGACACGGACGGGAAGUGGCAGAAGACGCUCCUCCACAGGGUUCGAUGGGUUAGUAGACUGUUUUGACAUACUUUGUAGCUAUGAUUUCAUUUUUUUAUUAUUUAUUUAUUUAUUUUUAUUAUUAUUAUUUUUAUAAACUUUGAGAUGACACGUAUAAUAUGGACUGACAUAGGAAAGGAUAAUAGUGCCCUUAGUUGACCUCGGGUUUGGGUAAGGACCCGGUUAACGAUUCGGACCCUCGGGUUCGGGUCGUUACAGUGUCACUUGGAUGGUGCUCUUUAGUUAAUUGCCUUUUGUGUUGUUACCGGAUGAUGUUGUUGCUCUUCAUUUGUAUUAUGCUAAUUUAGCAGAUCUGAUGUAUACCACAUAGUAUACUAUUAUGCUACUACACAGUUGUAUAUAUAUAUUGACAUAAAUUAUACAAAGCAGUUGUCAUUGUUCACGUCAAAUGCAGUUAAUUCAAUAUUUUAUUCAAUGCAUUUGCAACUUCCAAUUCUUAUAAUGUUUUUCGUGUCAAAUUCCAAUUUCCAAGUGUUAAUUCUAUUAUUAUUAUUACUUCUUUUUUUUCUUUUUCUUGUUUUAAUAAAAAAUGGAUGUACAUGUUUUUUUUUUUUUUAGUUGGUACUUUACACACACAUGACUAUUGAAACUCGAAUUCAUAAUCUCUCCUUAUAAAGUACUAGUGGUUCGGUACCGCUGACUAUUGGUCAUGUGCAUGUUCUCAUUGGUUCAUUUGAUUAUUAUUAUAAAGUUUGACCAUGGAACAAAAGGAAAGUUUCAAUCAAAGGGUAGCCAUAUGUUUUUUAAAUAGCCAAUACUUUGUGUUAUUGUUAAUUCCACUGUUGAUCAAACAAGUGAAAAAUGUAUAAUUUGUGUGUUGCAAGAGCCAAUACUCUCAUAUUGUUCAAUCCAGUCUUUUUCAAACAACUGGAAAAUGCCUUAGGGCAAAAUUUAAUCAGUGUCAUUUAGUAUAGAAACUAGAUGAUGAAGUUCCAAUUGCAUAGACAAGCCAAAUCAAGUAACAAACAGGAAAGCCAAAACAGUAGAGCCAAACUUUUCAAGGAAAAUUUUUACACUCAUUUCAACUCUAUACUUGUUCUUCAAGAUUCUGAAGUCCCUUUAUUUUCAAAUUGAAACUCAAGUAAAUGAGAGGCCAAUGAUUUAAUCCGAUUAUUGUAGGGAUUUUAUCAAGGAUAGCUAACCACAAUGUGAAAAAUUGUUUAGAAAUAGUUUAGCUUGUCUUCGUGUCAAAACCAGCCCAUACCGCUUUGCACACUCUCCGGUGUUUACUAUUUUCUUCCAAACACUGCGUCUUGUACAAUUUAGAAGUGUUUACACAUGUAAAUGCCUACCCAAAGCUUAUAUAAUAAACAUUAAUGGAGAGGAAAUCUUUCCUGCACAAAAUACUAACUAGACAUCAGCAAACAUAAUAUAAUUUAAUUUUAGUUUAAGCAUAUUCUAAUUUGUAUUUAAAAUUCUCCUGUUGAGUGUCAAUGCCUUAGCAGUAGAAAAUAGUGUCUUCUAUCAUUGAGAAUACUUAUUACCAAAAUGAUUUUUAUUUUAACUACCAAAUUUUUUUUAGCAACACUUGCUUGUUAUCUGAUUUGUUUAAAGUGUUUUAGUGCCAAAAUUUGUGCAGCACUUUUACUGUUAUCAAAUAUAUUUUUAUAUUCUUGUUUUAAAAAAUCCAUAUUACAAAUUUUACAUUACUAAACAUGUUUUCAAUCUCAAAUGUAUACAAACCACAACAAUAUAUAUAUAUAUAUAUAUAUAUAUAUAUAUAUAGAAUGGAAAUGAAAACGCAAAACAACAACGUUGCCUUCACGAGCAUAUUUGACUUAUUUGCUUGCACUUGAUUUGUCUCCAUUAUUAUUUAAGGAUUUCAA